AAAUUCCUCUAACCCCCGCACACAGAAACGAGCAUUGUUAACAGUCAGUGAAAAGUGAGCUUGCCUGGAUCCACAGAAAACUCAAAUCCUAUUCUAAGUCAGUGAUUCUUCUGAAGUGUGGUCCUUAGAGCAGCAGUAGCAAUAUCAUCUGGGAACUUGUUAGAAGUUCCCAGAAUCACCUGGGAACUCAGGCUGCACCUGGGACUUUUCGAAUCAGAGAAUCUGGGGUGGGCGCAACAAUCACCUCCAGAUGAUUCUGGUGCAUGCUAGAGUUUGAGAACUACCAUCUUGGGAAUGUGAGAAGGAGCCAAACAGAAAGCAAGAAUACGAUUCAGCGUUUCCAACGGAGACUGUGUCUGGGACAACUAGUCAGAAAAUCAUCAAGAAUACAGAACUCAAGAACACCAUCAAAAGGAUCUAGCCAACAUUUAUGGACUAUUCCAUCCAACAGUAGAGGAAAGCACAUUCUUUCCAAGUGCCCACAGAAGAUACAUCAAGAGAGACCAUAUCCUGGGCCAUAAAACAAAUCAUAAAACUACUUAAAAGAAUUGAAAUCAUAUAUAGUGUGUACACCAACUAC
Molecule: long non-coding RNA, 580 nt
Filed under: Equus caballus (horse)
Lineage: Eukaryota; Metazoa; Chordata; Mammalia; Perissodactyla; Equidae
Description: lncRNA (ENSECAG00000057159.1)
Source: RNAcentral